CAAGUCCCUUGGAACAGGGCGUCACGGAGGGUGAGAAUCCCGUUCGCGGCCGGGGCGGCGCGUCCCCGCGCGGGGCCCUUUCGACGAGUCGAGUUGUUUGGGAAUGCAGCUCCAAGCGGGUGGUAAAUUCCAUCUAAGGCUAAAUAUCCGCCAGAGACCGAUAGCGCACAAGUAGCGUGAGCGAAAGAUGAAAAGCACUUUGGAAAGAGAGUUAAACAGCACGUGAAAUUGUGGAAAGGGAAGCGCUUGCGGCCAGACUCGGCCGCGCGCGACCACCCGUCCUGCGGGGCGGGGCACGCGCGCGCGGCCGGGCCCGCAUCGGUUCGGGCGGCCGGACAAAGGCCCGGGGAACGUGGCCCCCGCGGGGGUGUUAUAGCCCCGGGCGCCAUGCGGCCCGCCCGGACCGAGGCCUGCGUUGAUGCACGGAUGCGGGCGUAAUGGCCGCCAGCGACCCGUCUUGAAACACGGACCAAGGAGUCGACCAGUCCCGCGAGUCUCUGGGUGUCAAACCCGCAGGCGCAAUGAAAGUGAACGGAGGCGAGAGCCCCCCCGGGGGUGCACCGUCGUCCGAUCCGGAAGUUUUACGGAUGGAUUUGAGAAGGAGCGCGGCCGGUCGGACCCGAAAGAUGGUGAACUAUGCCUAGCUAGGAGGAAGUCGAGAGAAAUCUCGAUGGAUGUCCGCAGCGGUUCUGACGUGCAAAUCGAUCGUCAAAGCUGGGUAUAGGGGCGAAAGAGUGAGUUUUUGGACUUUCCCGGACGAAUCGAGCAGAGAGGCUAAUGUGAAACAGCUAAUCGAACCAUCUGGUAGCUGGUUCCUGUCGAAGUUUCCCUCAGGAUAGCAGCCGCGCGUGCGAGUCGCAUCCGGUAGAGCAACGAUUGGGCGUAUGGGGAAAGUAACUUUCUUCGCGCACUCUCGAACUCCGAAUGGGUGCGAGGCCCCCGUCGCUUCGU
Molecule: ribosomal RNA, 951 nt
Filed under: Porina nucula
Lineage: Eukaryota; Fungi; Ascomycota; Lecanoromycetes; Ostropales; Porinaceae
Description: eukaryotic LSU rRNA
Rfam family: Eukaryotic large subunit ribosomal RNA
Source: RNAcentral